UACGGAGGGGGCUAGCGUUGUUCGGAAUUACUGGGCGUAAAGGGCGCGCAGGCGGCCUUAGAAGUCAGAUGUGAAAGCCCCGGGCUCAACCUGGGAAUGGCAUUUGAUACUCUGAGGCUGGAGUACGGGAGAGGAGAGUGGAAUUCCCAGUGUAGAGGUGAAAUUCGUAGAUAUUGGGAAGAACACCGGUGGCGAAGGCGGCUCUCUGGACCGUAACUGACGCUGAGGCGCGAAAGCGUGGGGAGCAAACAGG
This 253-nucleotide ribosomal RNA is filed under the name uncultured bacterium. Its description in RNAcentral is "partial 16S ribosomal RNA". It matches the Rfam family "Bacterial small subunit ribosomal RNA", at positions 524 to 776 of the family's 1533-position model. The record is from RNAcentral.